CUCCAUGAAGCUGGAUUCGCUAGUAAUCGCGCAUCAGCCAUGGCGCGGUGAAUACGUUCCCGGGCCUUGUACACACCGCCCGUCAAGCCAUGGGAGCCGGGGUGCUUGAAGUGCGUCGCCGCAAGGCGCGCCCUAGAGCAAAACCGGUGACUGGGGCUAAGUCGUAACAAGGUAGC
Molecule: ribosomal RNA, 176 nt
Filed under: uncultured bacterium
Lineage: Bacteria
Description: partial 16S ribosomal RNA
Rfam family: Bacterial small subunit ribosomal RNA
Source: RNAcentral